GCGGUUGUGGUGGAACGGCAGACACACCAUCUUGAGGGGGUGGCGCUGAGAGGCGUGUGGGUUCAAAUCCCACCAACCGCACCA
Molecule: transfer RNA, 84 nt
Filed under: Selenomonadales bacterium
Lineage: Bacteria; Bacillati; Bacillota; Negativicutes; Selenomonadales
Also listed under: 4 other names
Description: tRNA-Leu
Rfam family: tRNA
About the family: Transfer RNA (tRNA) molecules are approximately 80 nucleotides in length.
Source: RNAcentral